Molecule: ribosomal RNA, 397 nt
Filed under: uncultured bacterium
Lineage: Bacteria
Description: partial 16S ribosomal RNA
Rfam family: Bacterial small subunit ribosomal RNA
Source: RNAcentral
CUACGUAGGUGACAAGCGUUAUCCGGAUUUACUGGGCGUAAAGGGCGUGUAGGCGGUCUUGCAAGUCAGAAGUGAAAUUCCUGAGCUCAACUCGGGCGCUGCUUCUGAAACUGCAGGACUUGAGUGCUGGAGGGGAUAGCGGAAUUCCUAGUGGAGCGGUAAAAUGCGCAGAUAUUAGGAAGAACACCGGUGGCGAAGGCGGCUAUCUGGACAGUAACUGACGCUGAGGCGCGAAAGCGUUGGGAGCAAACAGGAUUAGAUACCCUGGUAGUCCACGCCGUAAACGAUUAAUACUAGGUGUAGGGGGUAUCGACUCCCUCUGUGCCGCAGUUAACACAAUAAGUAUUCCGCCUGGGGAGUACGGCCGCAAGGUUGAAACUCAAAUGAAUUGACGGGG